UGGGCUGCGGUGUCUGCGCAGCGUCGGCGGUAGCGGGGGCCGCGGCGAGGCGGGCGGGAGGCAGCGCGGGCCUAGCGGUCAGCCGCAACCGAGCGUCGUCUGGGCACUGCCCGUCGCCGAGCCACACGCCGUGCCGGCUCGGGCCGGCGCGCGCCGGUCCCGGAGGCGCAGGCUACCUACUUGAAGUCAUGAAUCCUGUUUAUAGCCCUGGGUCUUCUGGGGUUCCCUAUGCAAAUGCCAAAGGAAUUGGAUAUCCAGCUGGUUUCCCUGUGGGCUAUGCAGCAGCUCCUGCCUAUUCUCCUAACAUGUACCCUGGAGCGAACCCUACCUUCCAAACAGGU
RNAcentral lists this long non-coding RNA (341 nucleotides) under Rattus norvegicus (Norway rat). RNAcentral's name for it is "long non-coding RNA NONRATT029907". The record is from RNAcentral. Lineage: Eukaryota; Metazoa; Chordata; Mammalia; Rodentia; Muridae.